Caenorhabditis elegans is the source of this 473-nucleotide non-coding RNA. The record is from Ensembl. Lineage: Eukaryota; Metazoa; Nematoda; Chromadorea; Rhabditida; Rhabditidae.
CAAUUUCAACUAAAGGUACUCUCCGAUAAAAAUUUCAGAUAAUUGUGUCGUCGGUGCUUCUGCUAUCGAAAUCGAAAAGGAUAUUUGAAGAAUUCAACUAUUUUUUAAUAUGCAGAACUGAAUUUUUAGAACCUGUUUCUUCUUCGAAAUAAUCAAAAAAUUUCGGCAUUUUUUAAAAAGUGAGACGUGAAAUCUUCAAUUUUUUUUUUCGAAAUCGAUAUUUUGGGACGCGGACUUGGACGAUGUUGAGCGGUUAGUUGGACAAUAACUAAAGAUACUCUCCGCCGAUAUUUUCACGUGGACGGUCGAGAAAUGAGGCGGACCUAAGGAUCGAUUAGCGAUUUUGAGGUGGACUGGUCUUAACGAUUCGACAAGGAAUUCAAUGUGUUUUUUAACCGAAAAAUCCUUUUUUUUUUAAAUAUUUAUAGAUUUUUACUGAAAAUGUUCUUUUUUCCAGAAAAUAUAUUGAUUUU